This 431-nucleotide ribosomal RNA is filed under the name uncultured bacterium. Its description in RNAcentral is "bacterial SSU rRNA". It matches the Rfam family "Bacterial small subunit ribosomal RNA", at positions 335 to 763 of the family's 1533-position model. The record is from RNAcentral.
ACUCCUACGGGAGGCAGCAGUGAGGAAUAUUGGACAAUGGGCGAGGGCCUGAUCCAGCCAUGCCGCGUGCAGGAAGAAUGCCCUAUGGGUAGUAAAACUGCUUUUAUACGGGAAGAAAAAGGGGCACGUGUGCCCUGUUGACGGUACCGUAAGAAUAAGGACCGGCUAACUCCGUGCCAGCAGCCGCGGUAAUACGGAGGGUCCGAGCGUUAUCCGGAAUUAUUGGGCGUAAAGCGCAUGCAGGUGGUUUGUUAAAGUCAGAUGUGAAAGCCCGGGGCUCAACCUCGGAAUUGCAUUUGAAACUGGCAGACUAGAGUACUGUAGAGGGGGUAGAAUUUCAGGUGUAGCGGUGAAAUGCGUAGAGAUCUGAAGGAAUACCGGUGGCGAAGGCGGCCCCUGGACAGAUACUGACACUCAGAUGCGAAAGCGAU